UGGUUAGCAAAGAUUGUCUGCC
RNAcentral lists this non-coding RNA (22 nucleotides) under Arabidopsis thaliana (thale cress). The record is from RNAcentral. Lineage: Eukaryota; Viridiplantae; Streptophyta; Magnoliopsida; Brassicales; Brassicaceae.